GACGAACGCUGGCGGCGUGCUUAACACAUGCAAGUCGAACGUGAUUUUUGUGGAAAGCCCUUCGGGGACGGAAAUGAAAUGAAAGUGGCGAACGGGUGAGUAACACGUGAGCAACCUACCUUACACAGGGGGAUAGCCGUUGGAAACGACGAUUAAUACCGCAUGAGACCACAAAGCCACAUGGCUUAGGGGUAAAAGAUUUAUCGGUGUAAGAUGGGCUCGCGUCUGAUUAGCUAGUUGGAAGGGUAAAGGCCUACCAAGGCAACGAUCGGUAGCCGGUCUGAGAGGAUGAACGGCCACAUUGGAACUGAGACACGGUCCAAACUCCUACGGGAGGCAGCAGUGGGGAAUAUUGCACAAUGGGGGGAACCCUGAUGCAGCGACGCCGCGUGAGCGAAGAAGGUUUUCGAAUCGUAAAGCUCUGUCCUAUGAGAAGAUAAUGACGGUAUCAUAGGAGGAAGCCCCGGCUAAAUACGUGCCAGCAGCCGCGGUAAUACGUAUGGGGCGAGCGUUGUCCGGAAUUAUUGGGCGUAAAGGGUACGUAGGCGGCCUUUUAAGUCAGGUGUGAAAGCGUGAGGCUUAACCUCAUUAAGCACUUGAAACUGGAAGGCUUGAGUGAAGGAGAGGAAAGUGGAAUUCCUAGUGUAGCGGUGAAAUGCGUAGAUAUUAGGAGGAAUACCGGUGGCGAAGGCGACUUUCUGGACUUUUACUGACGCUCAGGUACGAAAGCGUGGGGAGCAAACAGG
RNAcentral lists this ribosomal RNA (746 nucleotides) under uncultured Parvimonas sp. RNAcentral's name for it is "bacterial SSU rRNA". It matches the Rfam family "Bacterial small subunit ribosomal RNA", at positions 28 to 776 of the family's 1533-position model. The record is from RNAcentral. Lineage: Bacteria; Bacillati; Bacillota; Tissierellia; Tissierellales; Peptoniphilaceae.